This 202-nucleotide unclassified non-coding RNA is filed under the name Psathyrella globosivelata. Its description in RNAcentral is "partial internal transcribed spacer 2". The record is from RNAcentral. Lineage: Eukaryota; Fungi; Basidiomycota; Agaricomycetes; Agaricales; Psathyrellaceae.
AAUUCUCAACUUCAUCAGUUUUGUUAUGAAACUGUGUGAAGCUUGGAUGUGGGGGUUUGUGCAGAAUACUUGAUUGUAGACUGCUCCCCUUAAAUAAAUUAGCAAGUUCAAUCUGAGCCCUGUCUAUUGGUGUGAUAAUUAUCUACACCGUGGAUUGAGCUUAGACUUGCUUCUAACUGUCUGGAAGGACAACAUUUUGACA